Aspergillus flavus AF70 is the source of this 72-nucleotide non-coding RNA. The record is from Rfam. Lineage: Eukaryota; Fungi; Ascomycota; Eurotiomycetes; Eurotiales; Aspergillaceae.
GGCCUGCUGGCCCAAUGGCAAGGCGCUUGACUACGAAUCAAGAGAUUGCAGGUUCGACCCCUGCGUAGGUCA